Molecule: long non-coding RNA, 1052 nt
Organism: Marmota monax (woodchuck)
Lineage: Eukaryota; Metazoa; Chordata; Mammalia; Rodentia; Sciuridae
Exons: 2
Source: RefSeq, a predicted model, not a curated record
AGACAGGGCCCUGGGGAAGGAAAGUCUAGAGACUAGCUGGAUGCAGGGUACACACCUGUAAUCCAUCUGGAAGCUGAGGAGGAUGGAGAGAUCCAGGCCAGCCUUAGCAAUUGAGUGAGAUCCUGUCACAGAUGAAAAAUUAAAAAGGGCUGGGGAUGUAGCUCAGUGGUAAACUGCCCCUGGGGUUAAUCCUCAGCACCAAAAAGAACAAAUGGAAACUAGACAUGAUGGGAUGGAGCCACUGAGGGGCCCUGCAGAAUUUUCAACAGGCAGCACCAUGUGGCUUGGGCUCCUCAGCACCUCUGGGAGCUGUCUUGCUCUUUGUGUCAGUCCUGCUUCCACAGCCCUCAGGGCCACAGGUGGGUUCCGCAGGCAGGCCUCCGGGAAAGUCCACCACAGGCUGCAGGGCUCAGGGCCAUUAUGCAGCCAGUAAACUACAGGAGGGAAGGAGAACUCUGAGGCGGGCAGGGAAUCACUCUUGACCUUCUCCUUUGUUCCCUUCCCAGAAGAGGACUCUGUCUAACAUGGAAUCCUUCCUAGAAUUUUAGAAAAGGGUAAACUUAGAAGAUGUUCCUUCUCACAGGAAGACAGUAAGAGAAUCUGCUGUCAUCACUUCUGCCCUGGUGACUUCAAUGCCUGUGACAACAGUGGCUGGGACUGCCUCUUCCCUCCCCCCUCAUUUUGUGGAAGAGCAAUGACAUAGGCACUUGGAGUUUCUGGAACUAGUUUUCUGGACUGCCUCACCUCCCAGCAAGAGCAAGCAUCAAGACGGUGUCCAAAGGGAAACCAGCUGCAUCUCAGUAACAUUCCACUCUUAAGCCUUUAGAAAAAGAAGCAAAAAAGAUAAAUCAGGAACAGCUUUGACAGAGUCAAUGGACAAAACCUGCUGAAACUGGCCCUGCUUUAAGGGAGUUGGGAGAUGAAAGACGGGGGCUAACACAGGAGCCCCCCUGGCCAGCACCCCAUCCCUUCACAACCCCUACUGUCAUUUACAGGAGCCAAAGGGCUUUUGCUAAUAAAAACAUUUAAAAAUAAAACAAAGUAUCAAUUCA